Gorilla gorilla gorilla (western lowland gorilla) is the source of this 3148-nucleotide long non-coding RNA. RefSeq lists it as uncharacterized. The record is from RefSeq and is a predicted model, not a curated record. NCBI's taxonomy places the organism in Eukaryota, Metazoa, Chordata, Mammalia, Primates, Hominidae. The transcript is spliced from 3 exons.
ACCUGCAGGCAGAUGAGCUGGGGAGCUCAGCUUGGUCUUGAGGGUCAACUGGUCUGAGUCACCCUCCACCCCCUGGCCCAAGAGCCCCGUCACAGGUCCCAUUCCCCAGAAGUCUCCCUCCUUCAUCAUGAGAGCCUAGGUCCUGCCCACACACUGCCCAGGAUGCCUGGGGCACCGUCCUGGCUCCAGAGUUGCAGGCCUGGACUCUGCUUCUCAAAUCUGUUGUGUCUUGUGGGCUGUGACCUUGGGCAAGUCAUUGUCUUCUCUGGCCUCUUUAGCUUCAUCUCUAAGAUGAGGUCCCUGAUCACAUCAGUGGUUUUCAAAGUUUUAGGCACAGAACGCUUUUGUUGAAUUUUCUCUUGCUGAGAUUUCCAGGAUGUAAAACAGAUGAAGAUGCAGCUGCCCUGUGGUUCCAGGAAGCCAAAUGAAAAACUCUUGUACAAGGCGACGGCUACAGUCCCUCUUCGCUCUCACUGUCCAGGUUUCUGUGACAUUCACACAGCCUCAGCUUAACGGGUCUUGCUCUGUCGCACAGGCUGGAGUGCAAUGGCAUGAUCUCGGCUCACUGCAACCUGCGAUUCCCGGGUGGCAAGUAAUUCUCCUGCCUCAGCCACCCAAGCAGCCUGUAGUCCACAGGCGUGCGCCACCAUGCCCAGGGCUGGCACAUGGGAGGCACUCAGCAGAUAAUGUAUCUGAGUUCAUGAGGCCCCUGGAGGUUUGCUUGACUCCAAAGACCCCAGGACCACCAGGGUGUGAGACCAUGGCCAGGAGAAGGGAACUGUCAUGUAAGCUAUGAAGCAUAUGGAAUAUUCUUGUGAGCUCCAUCCCCCACCAACCCUGGGCGACCUCUCGGUCUGUCUUUGCCAGGCUGUGAGGUGGAGCAGAAAGGGCCUGACCUAGCGUUCCAGUCUCAACUGUGCCACUGCUGGCUGGCUGUGGGCUGGGCAGCUGACUUCCUCUUGCUGGAAUGAGUCUGGCCAUCCCUAAACAGGGGGACUUUGGUCUGAUUCAGUCAUUCAGUCAACAAAUAUUUCCCAAAAGCCUAGUAAGUGCCUGGUGUGUAUACUGGAGAUACAGCAGUGAAUGACACAAAGUCACUCUCCUGGUGGAUAGCAAAAAUAAGCAAACAUAGCAAAAUAGAGGCCUAGGCUGGGGAAAACAGUGGGGGUGUGCCUUAGAGGGGAUGGGGGAACAGCAUGUGCUAAGGCCCUGAGGUGGGGCAAAUGGGCAUGUGGCAUGCAGGACCCUCCUCCGUAGCUGCCUCAUGAACCUGGACAAAGUUCAGAGUCUAAAGAGGAAGAGACUUAUCUCUGCUGUUACUCACUCAUGACACUCAUUCAGCACGUGAAAACCUUGCCCACAUUGUUUCCCCAUCUGGCAGGUCUCUCCUGGACUGUGUGACCAGCUCUGUGUAGAGCCACCCCAGGAGCCCUCCUGCUGUGCCAGCCCCAGUUCCCCUCACUUCCCUGCGUGCGCCAGCUAAGACGGCCACUCACUAGUCCUGGGAUCUGUCCUGGCCUUUCCAACCUACCAGGCUUUGAAUCCCAAGUUCCUCCCUUCCUAUGUCUGACCUUCCCCAGCCUUCAAGGCCUGGCUCAGAGGCCACCAUUUCCAGGGCCUUCCCUGAUCAGAGACUGGCUACACCCUUUCACUCAUCUGUACUUCUCUGGGCUUGAGUUCACGCUUUGCCUCCUAGGAUGCGGCCCUUGCGUUGAGCUUGUCUGUGCCCUCCUGUGUUGCUUAUACGUUCCCAAGAGGCAGAGACCUAUCGCUGCUCCUGGUGUCUUUCUACUCCAUGUGCAGCAGGGCCCAUGGAAGGCACAAUGGCAUGAGCAAAGCAGGCCACCUGCUAGCUAAGUUGCCUGGCCUCUCUGUGCCUGCUUCUUCCUCUGUGAAAUGGACUACCAGAUGCCAGCCUGCAGGGUGAUGUGAACCCUAAGGACAAGAACGUCUAUAAAGCCCUUUGCAGGUGCUAAUAAUAUGAACCUGCCCCCAGCUGGGGCCUGGUAUGCUAAGCCCAGGCUGGACUGAGGCCUCAUUCUCUUCCUUCCUCUUAACCCAGAUGCCUCCAAAAGAUACCCAGGCCGUUCACUCAAGGCGCUCACAUGUUCCCCUGCUAUCACUGCCAAGGAUUCAGUGGCACUGACCCCUGCCUGUCCCUGCCCCAAAUUCCACUCCCAGCACCUCUCCCACCUCUACAUACAGCAGCCGUAGGGAUUCCCAUUCAGUUUCCCACUGCUCUUGGAAUAAGGUUCUCACCCCUUACCAGGGCCCUGCCUAACCUGGCCCGCCAGCCUCAUCUUGGCUGCCCUCACCUGUGGUCUAGUUAACCUGUGAACUCAUCAAGGCUUCAUUCUACCCCAAGGCGUCUGCACGUGAGGAUCCCUCUGUCUGAAACUCUCUCCCGGCUGCUGUUCUCAAGGUUGUGUCCCUUCUAGUCAUUCAGGUCCCAGCUCAAAAUCUCUUUCUUAGAGGUUUUUCUGACUAAGCCUUUGAGAAACGAGGGAACUCUCCUUCACAGCAUCCUAUUCGUUUCCUUCACAGUGCUUGGCAAAAGUAACAAUAGCAUCAAGCCACUCUCUCUCUAGACGGCAAGCUUCCUGAAGGCAGGUGCUAUGGUAUCCUCUCCAAAAUUUAUGUUGAAACUUAAUCUCCAUUGUGGUGGUAUGAAGAAAUGGGUGCAGAAGAUAUCCACAACCAAAAAUAUAAAUAAAUAAGAAGUGUGGACUUUUGUGAAGUCAGGAGGGCUCUGCCCUCAUCAGUGAACUAGUGCCUUAUAAAAGGGCUGGAGGAAACUAGCAUAGGCCAUUUUUUUUGCCCUUCUGUUCUUCUGUCAUGUAAAAGCAGUGUUCAUGCCCUUUCUGUUCCUUUCACCAUGUGAGGACACGUAGGUGGCACCAUCUACAAGGAACAGGCCUUUACCAGACACAGAACCUGCCAGCGCCUUGAUCUUGGACCUCAGAGUCUCCAAAACUGUGAAGAAUUAAAUUUCUAGAGCUGGGCACAGUGGCACACACCUGUAAUCCCAACUACUCACGAGGCCAAGGCAAGAGGAGCCAAGGAGUUUCAGACCAGUUCAAGCAAAAUAGUGGGACCUUCAUCUCCAAAAAAGAAAAAAAGAAAUUAAAUUUCUAUUGUUUCUGAAUUA